This 3511-nucleotide unclassified non-coding RNA is filed under the name Vitis amurensis. Its description in RNAcentral is "partial external transcribed spacer". The record is from RNAcentral. Lineage: Eukaryota; Viridiplantae; Streptophyta; Magnoliopsida; Vitales; Vitaceae.
CCCUAUGUCGCUCCGAUUCGUCCCUCCCCCCCACCCCCAACGCACACACUCCCCCCUCUCCCCUUUCCCCGGCCCCGGCCCUGAGGUUUGAAACCACCCCCGCCACCCGCCGGCUAUGUCCCCCCGACCCUUCGAUGCCUCUGCUGGUCGGGAUCCCCCCCACCCCCCUGCCCAUAUCAUUUUUUCCCCUAAAACUUGGCAAAGGCAUGGGAACUUGGAAGCUUGACCAAAGACAUGUGACGCAUGCCACCGCCCAUGCCAUGACGCGUGCCACGGGGCCUUGCAUAGUGCCCGCGAGCCAAGCCAAGGUGCCACGGGGCCUCUCAUGGUGCCCUCCUGCGAGCCGAGCCAAGGUGCCACGGGGCCUUGCUUGGUGCCCGCGAGCCAAGCCAAGGUGGCAGGAGGCCUUGCAUGGUGCCCGCCCGUGAGCCAAGCCAAGGUGGCACGGGGCCUUCCAUGGUGCCCUCCCGCGAGCCAAGCCAAGACACGCGACGCGUUCCACGGGGCCUUGCUUGGUGCCCGCGAGCCAAGCCAAGGUGGCACGGGGCCUUCCAUGGUGCCCUCCCGCGAGCCAAGCCAAGACACGCGACGCGUGCCACGGGGCCUUGCUUGGUGCCCGCGAGCCAAGCCAAGGUGGCACGGGGCCUUGCAUGGUGCCUUCCCGCGAGCCAAGCCAAGGUGCCACGGGGCCUUGCUUGGUGCCCGCGAGCCAAGCCAAGGUGCCACGGGGCCUUGCAUGGUGCCUUCCCGCGAGCCAAGCCAAGGUGCCACGGGGCCUUGCUUGGUGCCCGCGAGCCAAGCCAAGGUGGCACGGGGCCUUGCAUGGUGCCCUCCCGCGAGCCAAGCCAAGACACGCGACGCGUGCCACGGGGCCUUGCUUGGUGCCCGCGAGCCAAGCCAAGGUGGCACGGGGCCUUGCAUGGUGCCCCCCCGCGAGCCAAGCCAAGANCNANCGCGACGCGUGCCACGGGGCCUUGCUUGGUGCCCGCGAGCCAAGCCAAGGUGGCACGGGGCCUUGCAUGGUGCCUUCCCGCGAGCCAAGCCAAGGUGCCACGGGGCCUUGCUUGGUGCCCGCGAGCCAAGCCAAGGUGGCACGGGGCCUUGCAUGGUGCCCUCCCGCGAGCCAAGCCAAGACACGCGACGCGUGCCACGGGGCCUUGCUCGGUGCCCACGAGCCGAGCCAAGACACAUGACGCGUGCCACCUCCCGUGCCACGACAGCUACAAUGACCCUCGAUAUGGUGCUAGAGGCUGUGCUAGGACACGUGACCCAUGCCAUGAUGCGUGCCACGGCCCGAGGCACGACACGUCUCGCGUGCCACGACCCCCAUGCCAUGGUGCCACGACACCUGUAAUGACCCAUUCCAUGGUGGUAGAGGCUGUGCCARGACACAUGGUGCAUGCCCUAUCUGGAUUUCGACCCUGAUGCCUUGACAAGGUUCCGGAUUAUGGUCUAUUGCUAAUCACGGAAUGUUAUUAAUCCAUGGAUUCAUGUUGCAAAGGUUGUUUGCUAUUUUUUUAUAUGGUUUUUUUAAGAAAAAAAUUUUAAAAUAAAUUUUGUUUGGACAAUCCUUGGAUUCUUUUUUAAGAUUUCUUUUUCCCAUAUCAAAUACAAUUUUUAAAAAUAUUUAAAGCAAUUUUUACUUAUUUUUCCCCCAUUUUUCUAAGUAAAAAAGCUAAAAAAAAUAUUUUUUGGCCAAGAGAGCUUCACCAAUCCUUGAAUUCGUCUUCCAUAUAUUUUUCCCAUGUGAAAUACAUUUUUAAAAAAUAUUUACACUAUUUUUUCCUCAUUUUUACUAUUUUUUAAGUAAAAAAUUCGAAAAAAAAAAAUAUUUUUGAGAGAUAAGUUGCAUUAAUUCAUGGAUUCCUAUUCCAGAUAUUUUUCCCAUGUGAAAUACAAUUUUUAAAAAUAUUUUCACUAUUUUUUGGUAUUUUUUACUAUUUUUCCCUAUUUUUCCCUAUUUUUCGGACAAAAAAAUUAAAAUAAAUAUUUUCUGGGCCGAAAUUUUUUUUUUUUUUUUUCCUUGGGUUCAUAUAAUUAUUAUAAAGAGAUUCAGCAAAAAAAACGGAAUUAAAAACUCUUUUUUCAUUAAAAAAUGGCAUUAUGUCUCCUCAAGCAUGGGUGAUGUCUCCUCAAGGCAUUUCCAAAACGGCCCAAAAUGCUCUUUAAGGGGGGGGUGCUGUCCUCAAUGGGCUGGCAGCACCACCCGCCCAGGCACGCUGCAGCGCGUGCCGCCCUUGGCGUGCAGGCCGCCCAUGCCACCCUAGGCAUGGCGCCCCCGCAUAUGCCACCCUCAAGCCCACGACACGCUAAUGCGAAGAGAGCACGCCCGCGACACCGUGGGCAGCCCUCGCACGCAGCAGCAGUCACCCCGUGCCCCGCACACGCUGCACCCCGGACGCGUCCCAUGCCCCCCAUGCGGACACGCCCUCCCCCCCAUGCAACGAGUGCCCUCCCCGCGCACUCGGCCCCGUCCCUCCUCGUCUCGGCUCGACCCCUCGAGCGAGCAUGUUGCCUCGGAAAAACGUGCCAAUGGCCAACGUCGCGGCUCACCCCGGGGGGCUCACCCAUGCCUCCCGCCCGACGUUGCCCAUCAAAAGGCACACGGACGCCCCUCCCCCCAUGCAACGAGUGCCCUCCCCGUGCACUCGGCCCCGUCUCGGCUCGCCGAGGAGCCCUCGAGCCCUCGAGCGAGCAUGUUGCCUCGGAAAAGCCUGCCAAUGGCCAGCGUCGCGGCUCACCCCGGGGGCUCACCCAUGCCUCCCGCCCGACGUUGCCCAUCGAAAGGCACACGGAUGCCCCUCCCCCCAUGCAACGAGAGCCCUCCCCGGGCACUCGGCCCCGUCUCGGCUCGUCGAGGAGCCCUCAAGCCCUCGAGCGAGCAUGUUGCCUCGGAAAGGAGCCAGACGCAUCGUCGCCAUGCCUAUAUCGGUCCUACGAAGGCUUCACUCGUUGCUCCCGUGUGCUGGUCAGGAGUCGCCUCCGGACGAGUCGCGGUUCGACGCGUGAUGCCGUGUCGUAGUGAACCUGAUGGCGUGUGAGUGGUGUUUGGGUCGCGUGGGUCGGCAGGCUCCUUGCUCGUGCAACGAACUGUCGCCGCACCCCCCUCUUCAUUCUAAGCCUCAAGCGCUGCAACAAGCCUUGGGCGUCGCGAUGCCGUGGUUCCUGUGUUGCCUUCCUAACGGAUGGAAUUGUCCCUCGAACGUUGCCUAUCUCCGCCCGGCUCCCGCUCACGCGGUGCGGGCGGACCUCGAAAGCGGUCGCCGUGUCCCAUGGUCGCCCCACGCAUGCGCACGCAUGAGAGGGGUCGAGCAUGGCCCGCGACGGCCGCUCGUGCUCUCGGAUGCGGAACCUUAAAACGAGCGUGGGUCUCUCGGGAUCCCGUACUCGCUCGAGCUAAGCGUUCGUCGCUAGACGCGUACGACGACCGUCCCCGUCUUUGCCCUCCCGUCCCGCUCCCCUCGGGGGGCGUCGGUCAGGCGCAUGCGGUGCCGGCGUCGCACAGGAAUGC